RNAcentral lists this long non-coding RNA (445 nucleotides) under Homo sapiens (human). RNAcentral describes it as "HSALNT0258249". Lineage: Eukaryota; Metazoa; Chordata; Mammalia; Primates; Hominidae. The record is from RNAcentral.
CGGGUAUGUCUUUAUCAGCAGCAUGAAAACAGACUGACAUAAGGAACUCCAAGAAGGUUCCAGGCGGGGACACUGCAGCCAGAUCAUCUAUCAGUUUGAAGGAUACAACCCCUAUUUUGCUGAAUGAAUUUGGGUCUCCAAGCAUGGAGAGUUUGUGCGGAGGUCGUGUGGAGCUCAUGUGGAGAUGGAGGGCCACCAAAGGACCCUGAGAUAGACAGUGUGACUAGAGAGGAGGAGGAGGAAAAAGAGGAACAUUUACAAUUCUGGAAGCCAAGAGUUGAGAGUAUUUUGGAAAGAGGAAGGGGUCGAAUAUUUUGAACACCCACGAAAGGUUAAAGAAGUUUAAGAUCUAGAAGUAUCCAUUGAAUUGGGGAACAUGGAACUCAAUGUUGACUUGUCAAGACUGGAUUAGGAAAAUGUGGCACAUAUACACCAUGGAAUACUA